RNAcentral lists this long non-coding RNA (227 nucleotides) under Solanum melongena (eggplant). RNAcentral's name for it is "long non-coding RNA (SMEL_LNC000178)". Lineage: Eukaryota; Viridiplantae; Streptophyta; Magnoliopsida; Solanales; Solanaceae. The record is from RNAcentral.
CAAAAGGAUGGGCGAGUUCGGUUUGAGUGUUCAUCGAUCGGGUGGAUCUAUAUGCUUCGGGGUGGUGAGACGAGGUGUAGCGCAGUCUGGUCAGCGCAUCUGUUUUGGGUACAGAGGGCCAUAGGUUCUCCGGCGAGCUUUCUAUCGUAAAGCCAAAGACGCCCCAAGACAAGGUACAACUGUUGGGAAGGGGACAUGAUCAAUAGAACCUGGCUGGAUCCGGGCUG